This 1478-nucleotide ribosomal RNA is filed under the name uncultured bacterium. Its description in RNAcentral is "16S ribosomal RNA". It matches the Rfam family "Bacterial small subunit ribosomal RNA". The record is from RNAcentral.
UGGCUCAGCAUGAACGCUAGCGGCAGGCUUAACACAUGCAAGUCGAGGGGCAGCGGGGAGGAAGCUUGCUUUCUCCGCCGGCGACCGGCGCACGGGUGAGUAACACGUAUGCAACCUGCCCCUGUCAGGGGGACAACCCGCCGAAAGGCGGGCUAAACCCGCGUACAUGCCACCGGGGCAUCCCGGAGGCAGGAAAGGCUUCGGCCGGACAGGGAUGGGCAUGCGGCGCAUUAGGCAGUAGGCGGGGUAACGGCCCACCUAACCGACGAUGCGUAGGGGUUCUGAGAGGAAGGUCCCCCACACUGGUACUGAGACACGGACCAGACUCCUACGGGAGGCAGCAGUGAGGAAUAUUGGUCAAUGGUCGGGAGACUGAACCAGCCAAGCCGCGUGAGGGAGGAAGGUACAGAGUAUCGUAAACCUCUUUUGUCAGGGAACAAAGACUGGGACGCGUCCCCGGAUGGGUGUACCUGAAGAAAAAGCAUCGGCUAACUCCGUGCCAGCAGCCGCGGUAAUACGGAGGAUGCGAGCGUUAUCCGGAUUUAUUGGGUUUAAAGGGUGCGCAGGCGGUCUGUUAAGUCAGCGGUCAAAGCCCGGGGCUCAACCCCGGCCCGCCGUUGAAACUGGCAGUCUCGAGUUGGAGAGAAGUAUGCGGAAUGCGCGGUGUAGCGGUGAAAUGCAUAGAUAUCGCGCAGAACUCCGAUUGCGAAGGCAGCAUGCCGGCUCCACACUGACGCUGAGGCACGAAAGCGUGGGUAUCGAACAGGAUUAGAUACCCUGGUAGUCCACGCAGUAAACGAUGAAUGCUGGCUGUCCGGGGGGACUGACCCCUGGGUGGCGAAGCGAAAGCGAUAAGCAUUCCACCUGGGGAGUACGCCGGCAACGGUGAAACUCAAAGGAAUUGACGGGGGCCCGCACAAGCGGAGGAACAUGUGGUUUAAUUCGAUGAUACGCGAGGAACCUUACCCGGGCUCAAACGGGGAGUGGCGCAGGCAGAGACGCCUGUUUCCCACGGGACACUCCCCGAGGUGCUGCAUGGUUGUCGUCAGCUCGUGCCGUGAGGUGUCGGCUUAAGUGCCAUAACGAGCGCAACCCCCGCGUGCAGUUGCUAACAGUCAACGCUGAGGACUCUGCACGGACUGCCGGCGCAAGCCGCGAGGAAGGCGGGGAUGACGUCAAAUCAGCACGGCCCUUACGUCCGGGGCGACACACGUGUUACAAUGGGUGGUACAGCGGGAAGCCAGGCGGCGACGCCGAGCGGAACCCGAAAUCCACUCUCAGUUCGGAUCGGAGUCUGCAACCCGACUCCGUGAAGCUGGAUUCGCUAGUAAUCGCGCAUCAGCCAUGGCGCGGUGAAUACGUUCCCGGGCCUUGUACACACCGCCCGUCAAGCCAUGGGAGCCGAGGGCGCUUGAAGUGCGUCGCCGCGAGGCGCGCCCUAGAGCGAAAUCGGUGACUGGGGCUAAGUCGUAACAAGG